Molecule: long non-coding RNA, 1074 nt
Organism: Amphiprion ocellaris (clown anemonefish)
Lineage: Eukaryota; Metazoa; Chordata; Actinopteri; Pomacentridae
Source: Ensembl
AGGUGCGGCAGCAAGACACUGACAGGUUAAUCUGGUCGUGAUCGCGCAUCUGCGCUGUUUGACUAACAGAAAAAAAGUCAAAACUCCCAGCAUCUGUCCUUUAGAGUUUUAACUUUGGGAAAUUAUAGCUGCCAAUCAAAAUGCGGGACAGCGUCUCAAUGGGUGGGACGUGGAAAAAGGGAUGAAAAUGCUGUGCAGUUCCGCACAAAGCGGGACACUUGGUCACCCUAUUUUUGACGCACUUAUGGAAGACUGUAGGGUUCAAUCAACGGAGCAUGAGGGUUAAGAUGACUUUGUUUUGCUCCAGACUCUCGUGUCAUUUUGUUCCAGCUCAGGUGUGACGCAUAAGAAAACAGCAGAAGACAGAGAUGUGUGCUUUGGCUCAAGGUCAGAUGUUUGGGGGCUUUAGAGGAUGGACUGCUGCUGCUGCUGCUGCUAAAGACGCCCUUUAUGGAGCCGCAGCCCGCUGACGGGCAGCGAGCGUGUGUUCAGCAGACUUUAAUUGUCUGUCGGUGGCAGUAAAAGAACCGGUGAAAUACACAACCGUAAAAGAGCCGCGGUGCGUCCUGGGAGAUGGAGAUGAAGGAAAACACACCGGGCUGGAGGCUGAUGGCGAGAAGAUCAGACAAAGAGCCUUUCACCCAAAGAUUUAUAUUACUGUCUGCUUGGAAAUGACUCCACACAGAACAGAUCCAUCAGUCAGGUGUUUCCAUAAAAGAAUUGAAGAGGAGAGAGAUCUGGAAGAACAGAAAAAAUAAAAAGAAACCUCUGCUAUUGUGACUCAUGUGCCCAGUUCAGAAGAAAACAUCUGGCUUCAGCUUUUUAAUGUUUAAUUCUUUUUCAAAUGUUUUAUCGGCUUGUUUGAGGUUUUUUUCUUUCCCAAUAUUUAAUGUUUCGAUUAAAUCUUUAAGGUUUUUCUUUUUAAAUGUUUUACCACCUUUUAAUGUUUAAUUUUCUUUUUAAAUGCUUCAUUGUAUUUUCUGUUUAAUUCCUAUUUGAAGUUUUAUUGUCUUUAAGAUGUAAUUUUCUAAUUAAACAUUUAAUUUUUCAAUUAAAUGUUUUGUCUUUUUAAAG